This 342-nucleotide unclassified non-coding RNA is filed under the name soil metagenome. RNAcentral describes it as "partial contains 5.8S ribosomal RNA, internal transcribed spacer 2, and large subunit ribosomal RNA". The stretch from base 1 to 120 matches the Rfam family "5.8S ribosomal RNA", at positions 35 to 154 of the family's 154-position model. The record is from RNAcentral.
GAUGAAGAACGCAGCGAAAUGCGAUAAGUAGUGUGAAUUGCAGAAUUCAGUGAAUCAUCGAAUCUUUGAACGCACAUUGCGGCCAUAGGUAUUCCUUUGGCCAUGCCUGUUCGAGCGUCAUUUACAUCCUCAAGCCUAGCUUGGUGUUGGGCGUCUGUCCCGCCGUUUUCGCGCGCGGACUCGCCUCAAAGUCAUUGGCGGCGGUCGUGCCGGCCCCCUCGCGCAGCACAUUUGCGCUUCUCGGAGGCCCGGCGGAUCCGCGCUCCAGCAAGACCUUUCACGACUUGACCUCGGAUCAGGUAGGGAUACCCGCUGAACUUAAGCAUAUCAAUAAGCGGAGGA